AUAGCGUAUAUUUAAGUUGUUGUAGUUAAAAAGCUCGUAGUUGGAUCUUGGGUCGGGGGGAGCGGUCCGCCCCUCGUGGGUGUGCACUGGUCCACCCGACCUUUCUGCCGGGAACGCGCUCCUGGCCUUCGCUGGUCGGGACGCGGAGUCGGCGAUGUUACUUUGAAAAAAUUAGAGUACUCAAAGCAAGCCUAUGCUCUGAAUACAUUAGCAUGGAAUAACGUGAUAGGACUCUGGUCUUGUUUUGUUGGUCUUCAGGACCGGAGUAAUGAUUAAUAGGGACAGUUGGGGGCAUUCGUAUUUCAUUGUCAGAGGUGAAAUUCUUGGAUUUAUGAAAGAUGAACUUCUG
This 349-nucleotide ribosomal RNA is filed under the name uncultured eukaryote. RNAcentral's name for it is "SSU rRNA". It matches the Rfam family "Eukaryotic small subunit ribosomal RNA", at positions 594 to 945 of the family's 1831-position model. The record is from RNAcentral.